This 1097-nucleotide long non-coding RNA is filed under the name Triticum aestivum (bread wheat). RNAcentral's name for it is "long non-coding RNA (TAES_LNC020680)". Lineage: Eukaryota; Viridiplantae; Streptophyta; Magnoliopsida; Poales; Poaceae. The record is from RNAcentral.
GAACUAAUAGUAAGAUGGAGAAGAGAUAAUGCAACAAAAAUCUUAGAUGGGGCAGUGAAGUCCAUUGCGCAUUCUGAUUUUUUGUAGCUCCGGACAUCAGUUGUAUUGAGACAUGGAUGGCUCUACACCUGAAGUACAUAUAUCUGACAAGCAUGAUCACAUGUUCCCUUUAGAGUCUGAUGGUCGAUGGAGAGGCGAAGCGAAAGACGGUUAGGAAGCGCAAGAGAAGUGGCAAAGACAGUAGGUCCAUGUGUAUUUAACAGCAAGUCCAUGUAUUACUACAUGAGAAGUACUGCUAGUGAGACUUCACUGCCCCAUUUCAACAAACUUGUAUACGCAAUCCUAGUUUGACAAAGUACUCUACUGCCGCUGGUUUCAGUUCCCUCACUGGAUUUGCAGGCUCACGACCAUCCUCCAACACCCCGUCAGUGCCACUGAUUUGAAGGACCUCGGUGAGCGUGUACUUCUCCUGGUAUACAAUUUCAUUCCUCCCUGUAUUGCAGUCAUUUUGGUUAGUAAACUUGUAUCGACGAAGAAUAAUUGCACCAGGAAGUUCAUAUCUUAAAACUAGAUAAGUUUGAAAAACAAACCAUGACCAGUUGAAAAAGAACCACCCUCACCCUAUUUUGUAGCUCACCUCUAAUUCGUUUCUCUCUACUGCUCUUUUCUCUCACUAUUUUGUUUCUCCCUGUACUCCAGCACCAGAGAGGUUUGGACAGACGCUGAUCACUAGCUCUCUAUGACGCCACCGAUCACUAGAACGAAGAACACCAGCAGGAUGAGAAUGAAGUACAUGACAUAGACAAUGAGGACGACCAAAACAUGGAAUCCGUACACAUAGCACCAACUGCAAAUUCGAACUUUCUGUCUAUGAUGAUUUGAUUGCUACUUCUUAAAGAAAGUGUACAUAACAGUUAGAUGUUUGUGCUAGAAAGGAAAACUUGUUUGAAUUAAAAACAUUGACCAGUACGAAUCAAAAACAUUGAUCAGUUUGAUAGUGCUCUCUCCUACCUAUCUUGGUUGAUGCCACGAAUAGUGAAAAAAAUUGUAUGGGAAUGUUUAAUUAUUACUAGCAUGUAAGUUCAAAAAAAUAAAAC